GAUUAUGGCUCAGGAUGAACGCUGGCGGCGUGCCUAACACAUGCAAGUCGAACGAAGCACUUCUGAACAGAGAUUCGUCGAAGUUGGAUUUGACUUAGUGGCGGACGGGUGAGUAAUGUAUGAGCAACCUGCCUUUCGGAGGGGGACAACAGUUGGAAACGACUGCUAAUACCGCAUAAUGUAUCGAGGGGGCAUCCCCAUGAUACCAAAGGAGCAAUCCGCCGAAAGAUGGGCUCAUAUCUGAUUAGUUAGUUGGCAGGGUAACGGCCUACCAAGACUGCGAUCAGUAGCCGGACUGAGAGGUUGAACGGCCACAUUGGGACUGAGAUACGGCCCAGACUCCUACGGGAGGCAGCAGUGGGGAAUAUUGGGCAAUGGGCGAAAGCCUGACCCAGCAACGCCGCGUGAAGGAAGAAGGUCCUCGGAUUGUAAACUUCUUUUAUGAGGGACGAAGGAAGUGACGGUACCUCAUGAAUAAGCCACGGCUAACUACGUGCCAGCCGCUGC
RNAcentral lists this ribosomal RNA (507 nucleotides) under uncultured bacterium. RNAcentral describes it as "bacterial SSU rRNA". It matches the Rfam family "Bacterial small subunit ribosomal RNA", at positions 15 to 518 of the family's 1533-position model. The record is from RNAcentral.